GAUGAAGACGUAGCGAAAUGCGAUAACUAAUGUGAAUUGCAGAAUUCCGUGAAUCAUCGAGUCUUUGAACGCACAUUGCGCCCCCUGGUAUUCCGGGGGACAUGCCUGUCCGAGCGUCAUUGCUGCCCAUCAAGCACGGCUUGUGUGUUGGGUCCCGUCCCCCUCUCCCGGGGGACGGACCCGAAAGGCAGCGGCGGCACCGCGUCCGGUCCUCGAGCGUAUGGGGCUUUGUCACCCGCUCUUGUAGGCCCGGCCGGCGCUUGCCGACACCCAACCAUUUUUUUCAGGUUGACCUCGGAUCAGGUAGGGAUACCCGCUGAACUUAAGCAUAUCAAUAAGCGGAGGA
Molecule: unclassified non-coding RNA, 346 nt
Filed under: soil metagenome
Description: partial contains 5.8S ribosomal RNA, internal transcribed spacer 2, and large subunit ribosomal RNA
Rfam family: 5.8S ribosomal RNA (bases 1-119)
Source: RNAcentral